RNA transcript from Oncorhynchus masou masou (cherry salmon), 3256 nucleotides. It is a transcript of the gene named cyclin-dependent kinase 5-like, with no coding region annotated. The transcript has 13 exons. The record is from RefSeq and is a predicted model, not a curated record. NCBI's taxonomy places the organism in Eukaryota, Metazoa, Chordata, Actinopteri, Salmoniformes, Salmonidae.
UUUUUGUAAAUAUUUCUAAGAUUGACAGUCAUUACAGGUUCAUUAUCCACAUGAAUGCUGUUUCACUGAGGGAAUGGGUGGUGAUUCACCCGCAUGUUGCAGUUCAUAAUUUGACCGCUUUAGAUGCCGGUGUAGCAGCAACAUUGUAACUGUGAAUAACAGCUGGCUAGCGAACGUUCGUUAACAACAUUUCCACUGGGGCUGCAUUCCACUACUAUUAGCUAGCUAAAGGCUAGCUUUAUUGACAAAAUAUGCAGAAGUAUGAAAAACUUGAGAAGAUUGGAGAGGGCACAUAUGGAACUGUUUUCAAAGCAAAAAAUAGAGAAACGCAUGAAAUCGUGGCUUUAAAAAGAGUGAGAUUGGAUGACGACGAUGAGGGGGUCCCAAGUUCUGCCCUGCGAGAAAUUUGCCUCCUGAAAGAACUGAAGCAUAAAAACAUUGUGAGAUUGCAUGAUGUUCUGCACAGUGACAAGAAGUUAACAUUGGUGUUUGAAUUUUGUGAUCAGGAUCUAAAGAAAUACUUUGAUAGCUGCAAUGGAGACCUAGAUCCAGAAACUGUCAAGUCGUUCAUGUACCAGCUGUUGAAGGGGCUUGCCUUCUGCCACAGUCGGAAUGUUCUCCACAGAGACCUGAAGCCACAGAACCUCCUCAUCAAUAGGAAUGGGGAAUUGAAGCUGGCUGACUUUGGCUUGGCUCGAGCCUUUGGAAUCCCAGUGAGAUGUUACUCAGCAGAGGUUGUGACAUUGUGGUAUAGGCCCCCAGAUGUGCUCUUCGGUGCUAAGCUUUAUUCUACCUCUAUUGACAUGUGGUCUGCUGGAUGCAUAUUUGCAGAGUUGGCAAACGCUGGAAGGCCCCUUUUUCCGGGUAAUGACGUUGAUGACCAGCUGAAGAGGAUCUUCCGAUUGUUGGGUACACCAACUGAAGAACUGUGGCAGACAAUGACAAAGCUUCCAGACUAUAAGCCGUACCCCAUGUAUCCAGCCACGACCUCACUGGUGAAUGUUGUCCCCAAACUCAGUAGCACAGGACGGGAUCUCCUGCAGAAUCUGUUGAAGUGUAACCCUGUCCAGAGGAUCUCUGCAGAGGAGGCAUUACAACACCCUUACUUUGCUGAUUUCUGCCCACCGUAGAUGAGGUGCCCAAACACGUCACUCAACUGAACCUCCUCCAUCGGAAUCAAUCCUCUUUCACUCCCAUCUUCUCAACAGGAUCUGUCUAUCCCGACUCCCUACAAGGCUCAUCCUUCAGCAGCACCUGUUUUGACUAAGACACUUCCCUUCAGUUCAUCCUGUUGUGCCUCCAAAUGGAAUCAAGUCCUUGUGGGCUCUGCAAUAUUUUAGAUUUUGUUAGCAAACCUGUCUGCUUUUGUCUGUGAAGCGCACUGAUAUGGAAACAUAUAUAACAUGUAGCGAAUAACAAAUCUGGAUCCAGAGAAACCGUGAAUCCUUCUGAGCCAUUAGCUGCGCAGCAGAGUAAGAGUAAAAUCAAGACAAAGCUCCAUCAAUUUCAGAGCAGGGGCACGGUGGAAAAGAUGGUCAACAACCACCAGAAGUGAAGAGCCUUUUCCAACUUUCUGCCCUAUGCACCAGCUGGCGUGAGUGAAUUUCCGUUAAGAUGUUACCAUGGUCCAUCACCCAGGAUUUUAAAGUAACUUUUUGCACCAAAUAUUGACAAAUAGAAUACCUCAGUUACACAAAUGGUUCAAAUAGUUGAAGGAACUCAUAUCAUGGAGUGAUAUGUCACCAUGUGUCUCCCGACCCCUCCUGUCUCAGCCUCCAGUAUUUAUGCUGCAGUAGUUUGUGUCGGGGGGCUAGGGUCAGUCUGUUACAUCUGGAGUAUUUCUCCUGUCUUAUCUGGUGUCCUGUGUGAAUUUAAGAAUGCUCUCUCUAAUUCUCUCUUUUUCCUCUUUCUCUCGGAGGACCUGAGCUCUAGGACCAUGCCUCAGGACUACCUGGCCUGAUGACUCCUUGCUAUUCUCAGUCCACCUGGUCGUGUUGCUGCUCCAGUUUCAACUGUUCUGCCUGCGGCUAUGGAACCCUAACCUGUUCACCAUGCUACCUGUCCCAGACCUACUGUUUUCAACUCUCUAUAGUAGGAGCAGUAGAGAUGCUCUGAAUGAUCAGCUAUCAAAAGCCAACUGACAUUUACUCCUGAGGUGCUGACCUGUUGCACCCUCGACAACUACUAUGAUUAUUAUUAUUUGACCCUGCUGGUCAUCUAUAGACAUUUAAACAUCUUGACCAUGUUCUGUUAUAAUCUCCACCCGGCACAGCCAGAAGAGGACUGGCCACCCCUUAUAGCCUGGUUCCUCUCUAGGUUUCUUCUUAGGUUCUGGCCUUUCUAGGGAGUUUUUCCUAGCCACUGUGCUUCUACACCUGCAUUGCUUGCUGUUUGGGGUUUUAGGCUGGGUUUCUGUACAGCACUUUGUGACAUCAGUUUAUGUAAAAAGGGCUUUAUAAAUACAUUUGAUUGAUUGAUUGUUUAAGGGUAGAUAAAGAUGGUGUUACAUGAUCUACAUGUAAUUACAUGAACGAUGAUGCAUAGAAGACCAAACAAUGCUGAUUACAUUUCCAGAUAAUUCUGCACGUGAUGUUUCACGUAAGAUUGAGAAUGUUACACCUGGUUAGGAGAGGGUAUUCAUUAUUUAAUGGAUAUUUAAGGUCAAUCACAUGGUGGGAGUAUCAUAUACAUACAGUACAUAGUGCCAGUUGAUCCUAGUUCAGUUCCACAGCUGUCUGUAGGCCUCCAACAGUGCAAGACAUACUAUCAUCUACUCUCUGUAAGAUCCAGUCUUACAGAAGAAUAACAUUCCUUACAAGCCAGUGGCCACAUACUGUACGUACAAUAUAUAUAUUUUUGUUGUCAGGAAACAUAUCCCGGCUUCUCAGCCCCAUGUUCAAUACUUCAUGGUCACUGAAUAUUGCACAACCCUAAGCCUAGUUUUUCAUUAAGAUUUUUUCAUUCUAAAGAUUGAACAGUACCCUACCACACAACAUGGAUAUUAACCAUCUCGCUCCCAACAAAAUAGUAAAGUAACAUGGCGGCUGAUUAUACACAUGGAUUAUACACAUGGAGUACACAAUGAUCAUGCAAGGAGGAAAAGAGGUGAGGCGCAAUAACAAUACACAUCAUUAAGCUGCAAGAAUGAAGGUCUUUAGACUAUUAGUUGACAUAAAUAUACAAUACUGUCAUCUACUUGGCUGUAAUUUAUUAUGCUAUAAAAUACCCAUUAAAAGACUUGAAUCAAUAAGCACAA